Molecule: ribosomal RNA, 467 nt
Filed under: uncultured bacterium
Lineage: Bacteria
Description: partial 16S ribosomal RNA
Rfam family: Bacterial small subunit ribosomal RNA
Source: RNAcentral
ACGCACGCUGGCGGCGUGCUUAACCCCUGCCAGUCGCACGGAAAGGCCCUGCUUUUGUGGGGUGCUCGAGUGGCGAACGGGUGAGUAACACGUGAGUCACCUGCCCUUGACUUUAGGAUAACUUCAGGAAACUGGGGCUAAUACCGGAUAGGAGCUCCUGCUGCAUGGUGGGGGUUGGAAAGUUUCGGCGGUUGGGGAUGGACUCGCGGCUUAUCAGCUUGUUGGUGGGGUAGUGGCUUACCAAGGCUUUGACGGGUAGCCGGCCUGAGAGGGUGACCGGCCACAUUGGGACUGAGAUACGGCCCAGACUCCUACGGGAGGAAGCAGUGGGGAAUAUUGCACAAUGGGCGGAAGCCUGAUGCAGCAACGCCGCGUGCGGGAUGACGGCCUUCGGGUUGUAAGCCGCUUUCGCCUGUGACGAAGCGUGAGUGACGGUAAUGGGUAAAGAAGCACCGGCUAACUACGUG